GACGAACGCUGGCGGCGUGCUUAACACAUGCAAGUCGAACGGAAAGGCCCUGCUUUUGUGGGGUGCUCGAGUGGCGAACGGGUGAGUAACACGUGAGUAACCUGCCCUUGACUUUGGGAUAACUUCAGGAAACUGGGGCUAAUACCGGAUAGGAGCUCCUGCUGCAUGGUGGGGGUUGGAAAGUUUCGGCGGUUGGGGAUGGACUCGCGGCUUAUCAGCUUGUUGGUGGGGUAGUGGCUUACCAAGGCUUUGAAGGGUAGCCGGCCUGAGAGGGUGACCGGCCACAUUGGGACUGAGGUACGGCCCAGACUCCUACGGGAGGCAGCAGGGGGGAACAUUGCACAAUGGGGGGAAGCCUGAUGCAGCAACCCCGCGUGCGGGAUGACGGCCUUCGGGUUGUAAACCGCUUUCGCCUGUGACGAAGAGUGAGUGACGGUAAUUGGUAAAGAAGCACCGGCUAACUACGUG
Molecule: ribosomal RNA, 468 nt
Filed under: uncultured bacterium
Lineage: Bacteria
Description: partial 16S ribosomal RNA
Rfam family: Bacterial small subunit ribosomal RNA
Source: RNAcentral